UCUUUUCUUUUGAUAGGAGAGUUUUUAAAACCAGUGUUAUUUUUGUAAGUUUAAGAGAAGUUUGUGUAUUGAAUUUUUAAUAUUAAAGAGCUUUGUUAAACUUAGACUUAAGUUUAGGUCAUUUUGGGGGUUUAGCUCAGUUGGCUAGAGCAUCGGCUUUGCAAGCCGAGGGUCAAGGGUUCGAGUCCCUUAACCUCCAUUGGGCUUAUGUCCUAAAUCGUAAUUAAGUAUGUUUUUAAGUAACUUUGUUAAAGUAAUUGUUGGAAUGUGAAACAGAGGAAGUUAAAAUUUCUGGGUUAAGUUGAGAUCUGUUGAUAUUAAGAAGAAUCUCUAGAAGCAAAAGCAAGCUUUCGAUAAAACCCGAAGUUGUUUCGCUAAAGUGCAAGGAUUAAACAGGAUUGUAUUUUCCAGUAGCCUAUUUUAUAAACGAUCUGCAUUUAGUAAAUAGUUUUUAGUUAAGAAAUAAUGCAGAUUGCUAAGUGUGAUGCC
RNAcentral lists this unclassified non-coding RNA (489 nucleotides) under Borreliella burgdorferi (Lyme disease spirochete). RNAcentral describes it as "partial 16S-23S ribosomal RNA intergenic spacer". The stretch from base 126 to 199 matches the Rfam family "tRNA". The record is from RNAcentral. Lineage: Bacteria; Pseudomonadati; Spirochaetota; Spirochaetia; Spirochaetales; Borreliaceae.